Molecule: ribosomal RNA, 746 nt
Filed under: Pasteurellaceae bacterium I33
Lineage: Bacteria; Pseudomonadati; Pseudomonadota; Gammaproteobacteria; Pasteurellales; Pasteurellaceae
Description: bacterial SSU rRNA
Rfam family: Bacterial small subunit ribosomal RNA
Source: RNAcentral
GCUGCCGGCAGGCUUAACACAUGCAAGUCGAACGGUAGCACGUAGAAGCUUGCUUUCUUGCUGACGAGUGGCGGACGGGUGAGUAAUGCUUGGGAAUCUGGCUUAUGGAGGGGGAUAACUACUGGAAACGGUAGCUAAUACCGCGUAAUAUCGAGAGAUUAAAGGGUGGGACUUUCGGGCCACCUGCCAUAAGAUGAGCCCAAGUGGGAUUAGGUAGUUGGUGGGGUAAAGGCCUACCAAGCCUGCGAUCUCUAGCUGGUCUGAGAGGAUGGCCAGCCACACUGGAACUGAGACACGGUCCAGACUCCUACGGGAGGCAGCAGUGGGGAAUAUUGCACAAUGGGGGGAACCCUGAUGCAGCCAUGCCGCGUGAAUGAAGAAGGCCUUCGGGUUGUAAAGUUCUUUCGGUGAUGAGGAAGGCAGAUAAGUUAAUAGCUUAUUUGAUUGACGUUAGUCACAGAAGAAGCACCGGCUAACUCCGUGCCAGCAGCCGCGGUAAUACGGAGGGUGCGAGCGUUAAUCGGAAUAACUGGGCGUAAAGGGCACGCAGGCGGAUUGUUAAGUGAGAUGUGAAAGCCCCGAGCUUAACUUGGGAAUUGCAUUUCAGACUGGCAGUCUAGAGUAUUUUAGGGAGGGGUAGAAUUCCACGUGUAGCGGUGAAAUGCGUAGAGAUGUGGAGGAAUACCGAAGGCGAAGGCAGCCCCUUGGGAAUAUACUGACGCUCAUGUGCGAAAGCGUGGGGAGCA